UACGGCGGUCAUUGCGCGGGGGAAACGCCCGGUCCCAUUCCGAACCCGGAAGCUAAGACCCGCAGCGCCGAUGGUACUGCACCCGGGAGGGUGUGGGAGAGUAGGUCACCGCCGGAC
Molecule: non-coding RNA, 117 nt
Organism: Arthrobacter sp. Edens01
Lineage: Bacteria; Bacillati; Actinomycetota; Actinomycetes; Micrococcales; Micrococcaceae
Source: Rfam